AGUGAACGCUGGCGGUAGGCCUAACACAUGCAAGUCGAACGGCAGCACAGUAAGAGCUUGCUCUUACGGGUGGCGAGUGGCGGACGGGUGAGGAAUACAUCGGAAUCUACUUUUUCGUGGGGGAUAACGUAGGGAAACUUACGCUAAUACCGCAUACGACCUACGGGUGAAAGCAGGGGAUCCUCGGACCUUGCGCGAUUGAAUGAGCCGAUGUCGGAUUAGCUAGUUGGCGGGGUAAAGGCCCACCAAGGCGACGAUCCGUAGCUGGUCUGAGAGGAUGAUCAGCCACACUGGAACUGAGACACGGUCCAGACUCCUACGGGAGGCAGCAGUGGGGAAUAUUGGACAAUGGGCGCAAGCCUGAUCCAGCCAUACCGCGUGGGUGAAGAAGGCCUUCGGGUUGUAAAGCCCUUUUGUUGGGAAAGAAAAGCAGCAGGUUAAGACCCCGCUGUUCUGACGGUACCCAAAGAAUAAGCACCGGCUAACUUCGU
This 491-nucleotide ribosomal RNA is filed under the name uncultured bacterium. RNAcentral's name for it is "partial 16S ribosomal RNA". It matches the Rfam family "Bacterial small subunit ribosomal RNA", at positions 29 to 506 of the family's 1533-position model. The record is from RNAcentral.